Molecule: non-coding RNA, 54 nt
Organism: Salmo salar (Atlantic salmon)
Lineage: Eukaryota; Metazoa; Chordata; Actinopteri; Salmoniformes; Salmonidae
Source: Rfam
UGCACUCACUACUGUAAGUCGCUCUAGAUAAGAGCGUCUGCUAAAUGACAAAAA